RNAcentral lists this ribosomal RNA (295 nucleotides) under uncultured Leuconostoc sp. Its description in RNAcentral is "partial 16S rRNA". It matches the Rfam family "Bacterial small subunit ribosomal RNA", at positions 395 to 683 of the family's 1533-position model. The record is from RNAcentral. Lineage: Bacteria; Bacillati; Bacillota; Bacilli; Lactobacillales; Lactobacillaceae.
CGCCGCGUGUGUGAUGAGGCUUUCGGGUCGUAAAGCACUGUUGUAUGGGAAGAACAGCUAGAAUAGGAAAUGAUUUUAGUUUGACGGUACCAUACCAGAAAGGGACGGCUAAAUACGUGCCAGCAGCCGCGGUAAUACGUAUGUCCCGAGCGUUAUCCGGAUUUAUUGGGCGUAAAGCGAGCGCAGACGGUUUAUUAAGUCUGAUGUGAAAGCCCGGAGCUCAACUCCGGAAUGGCAUUGGAAACUGGUUAACUUGAGUGCAGUAGAGGUAAGUGGAACUCCAUGUGUAGCGGUG